This 64-nucleotide transfer RNA is filed under the name Batracobdella cancricola. RNAcentral's name for it is "tRNA-Asn". The record is from RNAcentral. Lineage: Eukaryota; Metazoa; Annelida; Clitellata; Rhynchobdellida; Glossiphoniidae.
UAAGUGAAAGCAAAUAAAUUGCGCCUAUCUGUUAAUUAGGAGUAAGUUUCAAUAACUCACUUAU